UACGUAGGGGGCAAGCGUUGUCCGGAUUUAUUGGGCGUAAAGAGCGUGUAGGCGGCCAAGCAGGUCCGCUGUGAAAACUCGAGGCUCAACCUCGAGAGGUCGGUGGAAACCGUUUGGCUAGAGUCCCGGGAAGAGGAGAGUGGAAUUCCCCGGUGUAGCGGUGAAAUGCGCAGAUAUCGGGAAGAACACCCGUGGCGAAGGCGGCUCUCUGGGACGGUACUGACGCUGAGACGCGAAAGCGUGGGGAGCGAACAGG
This 256-nucleotide ribosomal RNA is filed under the name uncultured bacterium. RNAcentral's name for it is "partial 16S ribosomal RNA". It matches the Rfam family "Bacterial small subunit ribosomal RNA", at positions 524 to 776 of the family's 1533-position model. The record is from RNAcentral.